RNAcentral lists this signal recognition particle RNA (265 nucleotides) under Brettanomyces bruxellensis AWRI1499. RNAcentral's name for it is "Fungal signal recognition particle RNA". It matches the Rfam family "Fungal signal recognition particle RNA". The record is from Rfam by way of RNAcentral. Lineage: Eukaryota; Fungi; Ascomycota; Pichiomycetes; Pichiales; Pichiaceae.
GCGCUGUCAUGGCAUUUGUCGGGAGCGCUGGAAUUUGUUCCUUGGGUUUUUCGGCUUCUACAAUUGAUGUGUCCUGUUCGAUCUCCGCGGUCGGCGUUCUAGUCCCUACGAGCAAUCUGGGCGACUGUCGUCAGCAAUGAGCACUGUUACCACUGGAGGGUAGAAAUACAGUACAGUUCGGUGCCCGUGGGUGAGGCGAAGGGGAUAACGCGUCGUUGGUAACAUCUUACGGUGUAGGAGGUUGGAAUUUCAGGUUGAGCUGGUU